CAGGGACGGCGCCACAAGGACGUGGCGCCGAGAUCCGCCGCGACACGACGUCGCGUCGAACCGUGCCCGUC
This is a regulatory RNA element of Halothiobacillus sp., 71 nucleotides long. NCBI's taxonomy places the organism in Bacteria, Pseudomonadati, Pseudomonadota, Gammaproteobacteria, Chromatiales, Halothiobacillaceae. The record is from Rfam.